RNAcentral lists this ribosomal RNA (501 nucleotides) under Fusarium oxysporum. RNAcentral describes it as "eukaryotic LSU rRNA". The stretch from base 133 to 286 matches the Rfam family "5.8S ribosomal RNA". Lineage: Eukaryota; Fungi; Ascomycota; Sordariomycetes; Hypocreales; Nectriaceae. The record is from RNAcentral.
CCCAACCCCUGUGACAUACCACUUGUUGCCUCGGCGGAUCAGCCCGCUCCCGGUAAAACGGGACGGCCCGCCAGAGGACCCCUAAACUCUGUUUCUAUAUGUAACUUCUGAGUAAAACCAUAAAUAAAUCAAAACUUUCAACAACGGAUCUCUUGGUUCUGGCAUCGAUGAAGAACGCAGCAAAAUGCGAUAAGUAAUGUGAAUUGCAGAAUUCAGUGAAUCAUCGAAUCUUUGAACGCACAUUGCGCCCGCCAGUAUUCUGGCGGGCAUGCCUGUUCGAGCGUCAUUUCAACCCUCAAGCACAGCUUGGUGUUGGGACUCGCGUUAAUUCGCGUUCCUCAAAUUGAUUGGCGGUCACGUCGAGCUUCCAUAGCGUAGUAGUAAAACCCUCGUUACUGGUAAUCGUCGCGGCCACGCCGUUAAACCCCAACUUCUGAAUGUUGACCUCGGAUCAGGUAGGAAUACCCGCUGAACUUAAGCAUAUCAAUAAGCCGGAGGAAA